This 720-nucleotide ribosomal RNA is filed under the name uncultured bacterium. RNAcentral's name for it is "bacterial SSU rRNA". It matches the Rfam family "Bacterial small subunit ribosomal RNA", at positions 387 to 1123 of the family's 1533-position model. The record is from RNAcentral.
UGCAGCGACGCCGCGUGCGGGAUGAAGGCCUUCGGGUUGUAAACCGCUUUCAGKAGGGACGAAAAUGACGGUACCUCCAGAAGAAGCCCCGGCCAACUACGUGCCAGCAGCCGCGGUAACACGUAGGGGGCGAGCGUUGUCCGGAUUUAUUGGGCGUAAAGGGCUCGUAGGCGGUUCAGCAAGUCAACCGUGAAAACCCGGGGCUCAACCCCGGGACGCCGGUCGAAACUGCUGUGACUAGGGUCCGGUAGAGGUGAGUGGAAUUCUCGGUGUAGCGGUGAAAUGCGCAGAUAUCGAGAGGAACACCAGUAGCGAAGGCGGCUCACUGGGCCGGUACUGACGCUGAGGUGCGAAAGCGUGGGGAGCGAACAGGAUUAGAUACCCUGGUAGUCCACGCCGUAAACGAUGAGAACUAGAUGUUGGGAGGAUUUGCCUUUCAGUGUCGCAGCUAACGCAUUAAGUUCUCCGCCUGGGGAGUACGCCGGCAACGGUAAAACUCAAAGGAAUUGACGGGGACCCGCACAAGCGGUGGAGCAUGUGGUUUAAUUCGAUGCAACGCGAAGAACCUUACCUGGCCUUGACAUCCUCGGAACUUUCCAGAGAUGGAUUGGUGCCUUCGGGAACCGAGUGACAGGUGCUGCAUGGCUGUCGUCAGCUCGUGUCGUGAGAUGUUGGGUUAAGUCCCGCAACGAGCGCAACCCUUGUCCCUAGUUGCCAGCA